GAACCAUCUGGAUUGUUAUAGGCGCAAAGUGUAAGCUCGGGUUGGUUAGUGGCUGUGCAGGCAACUUGAGGGUUGCAGGUUCGAUUCCCGCUUCCGCCAUCCUAGUCACCUGCCGUUGUGUCCUUGGGCAAGACACUUUACCCAACCGCUCCAUUGCCACCUACACUGGUUUAAAUGUAACUUAGAUAUUGGGUUUCACUAUGUAAAGCGCUUUGAGUCACUAGAAAAAGAGCUAUAUAAAUAUAAUUCACACGUGUGACGGUAUGGGGGUGUAUUAGUGCCCAAGGCAUGGGUAACUUACACAUCUGUGAAGGCACCAUUAAUGUUGAAAGGUCCAUACAGGUUUUGGAGCAACAUAUGUUGCCAUAUCAUGGGCGCCCCUGCUUAUUUCAGCAAGACAAUGCCAAGCCAUGUGUUACAACAGCGUGGCUUCGUAGUAAAAGAGUGUAGUCCAGACCAGUCUCCCAUUGAAAAUGUGUGGCGCAUUAUGAAGCCUAAAAUAUCACAACGGAGACCACCCGGACUGUUGAAGGACUGAAGCAACUUGAGGGUUGCAGGUUCGAUUCCCGCUUCCGCCAUCCUAGUCACUGCCGUUGUGUCCUUGGGCAAGACACUUUACCCACCUGCUCCCAGUGCCACCCACACUGGUUUAAAUGUAACUUAGAUAUUGGGUUUCACUAUGUAAAGCGCUUUGAGUCUCUAGAGAAAAGCGCUAUUUAAAUAUAAUUCACAUUUGUGACGGUAUGGGGGGUGUAUUAGUGCCCAAGGCAUGGGUAACUUGAACAUCUGUGAAGGCACCAUUAAUGCUGAAAGGUCCAUACAGGUUUUGGAGCAACAUAUGUUGCCAUAUCAUGGGCGCCCCUGCUUAUUUCAGCAAGACAAUGCCAAGCCAUGUGUUACAACAGCGUGGCUUCGUAGUAAAAGAGUGUAGUCCAGACCAGUCUCCCAUUGAAAAUGUGUGGUGCAUUAUGAAGCCUAAAAUACCACAACGAACGACUGAAGCUCUACAUAAAACAAGAAUUGGAAAGAAUUCCACUCUCAAAGCUUCAACAAUUACUUUCCUCAGUUCCCAAACGUUUAUUGAGUGUUGUUAAAAGGAAAGGUGAUGCAACACAGUGGUGAACAUACCCUUUCCCAACUACUUUGGCACGUGUUGCAGCCAUGAAAUUCAACGUUAAUGAUUAUUUGCAAAAAAGAAAAUAAAGUUUAUGAGUUUGAACAUAAAAAAUGUUGUCUUUGUCGCAUAUUCAACUGAAUAUGGCUUGAAAAGGAUUUGCAAAUAUUCUGUUUAUAUUUACAUCAAACACAAUUUCCCAACUCCUAUGGAAACGGGCUUUGUAUAUUUGGACUUUGCAGCACCGCAACGCCGGUUUUGUUCCUUUUGAGAACGGUCCUCAGGCUUCGCCAACCCGCCGCCGUAUUUUUAUUUCGCCCGCAAACGUAUCUUUUUAGAUCUUCUUUCUAAAGCAGCAUAACCAGUCGGCCUAUAUAGCCUUUUAUUUUCGUAUAUAUAUUUUUUGGGGGAUGACUUGCAUGAUUUGCUAACAUUUGAAAGGAUGCAAACAUGAACAGGGCGGUGGCCUUUAAAUCAUUUGUUGUAUUAUUCUCGUUAUGCAUCAGGAUGUAUUUUAUCGAGUGGUGUAUUUAUAAUAAAACGGUGGAAAGGAAUUCGGUUGCGACUCUGCGCUAUGUAAAUAAAGAGAAGUAAAAGCCA
Nerophis ophidion (straightnose pipefish) is the source of this 1714-nucleotide long non-coding RNA. RefSeq lists it as uncharacterized. Lineage: Eukaryota; Metazoa; Chordata; Actinopteri; Syngnathiformes; Syngnathidae. The record is from RefSeq and is a predicted model, not a curated record. The transcript is spliced from 2 exons.